Molecule: long non-coding RNA, 1072 nt
Organism: Dendroctonus ponderosae (mountain pine beetle)
Lineage: Eukaryota; Metazoa; Arthropoda; Insecta; Coleoptera; Curculionidae
Exons: 2
Source: RefSeq, a predicted model, not a curated record
AUUUGGCUCCUAAAAGGCAAUCUCGAUUUUCAUUGCCUAUUUUUUUCAAGUCAAUAUAUCAAGUCCUUCGCAAUAUUUACUCUAAUGAUUUAUCUAGUAGUUAGGUCAUGAGCAAGCAAAUGUUCCAGUUAGUGUGGAAGAAGCUAGUUGCGUUUCAACAGGAAUCAGUAGAAUUUUUCCACGAAAACGAUGAAAAACCCAAUAAGGAUUUAGGAUCUUUAGAUUAAAUUCGUGAGGAUUUAGCAUUCUGGUUCACAAUUGUUACGCAAUUCAACAAGUAGUACUUAGUCGAAUUAAUUUUGAUUUACUGUGAAAUUUACAAAAAAUGCAACUACGUGUUUAAAACUUUGAUCGACUCCAAAAGUUCGGAUCGCAAGGGUUUUAAGUAAUGAAGCGCAAACGAAAAAUACUCAAAACUAUUUAACUGUGUGUUGUUAAUUGCUUACUCCCAAAAAAAGAAUGCGAUUAAUGAAUAAAACCUGAUUAUGAUUUUAUAUUAUUAAAUUAUAACUGGUUUGUAUAAACAACAUUUAAUUAAACGAUUGAUUCAUAUUCUAUUGCUUUGAACCGACAAAGAGAUGAUGAGUAAUUGCGUCAAAUGCCGAUAAUAUGCUUGUAAAGUAAUCAGUUCAUAUGAAGAGUCAUAAAGAUAGAAAUUGGUAUAAUAACAGCAAUAUGUAUUACUCAUUGAUAAAUACUUCAGUGGUAUGAUUUCCAUUAACGUAUCACGAACUAUGCGAGUGAAUAUCAUGUUGAGUUUGGACUGUAUUUGUUUGUAAAAUUCUGAUUUAGAGGGAAUACUAUACGUAACUUACAUAUGUGCUGUAUGAACACGUAAUUUUUAACCUGCGGAAACUGCGAAUAGGCGAGGCUGUUUAUUAAAGAAAAUUAUCUUCGUGUAGAUCAUAAAGGUCGACGUUUUAAGGAUUUUAAAAUUCAUAAAAGAACUGUUUAACCAUGAUAACGAUAUUUUUAGUUCAAAUAAAUACACCCACGUAUCGUCUGGCUUACUGUUAACGUUUACUUAGAGGAAGAAAUAGACGUUACUAUAUCGGAUAAGAUAUUCCAACAA